GCCAGACUCCUACGGGAGGCAGCAGUGGGGGAUAUUGCACAAUGGGGGAAACCCUGAUGCAGCGACGCCGCGUGGGUGAAGAAGUAUUUCGGUAUGUAAAGCCCUAUCAGCAGGGAAGAAAGAAGACGGUACCUGACUAAGAAGCCCCGGCUAACUACGUGCCAGCAGCCGCGGUAAUACGUAGGGGGCGAGCGUUAUCCGGAUUCACUGGGUGUAAAGGGAGCGUAGACGGCCGUGCAAGCCAGGAGUGAAAGCCCGGGGCCCAACCCCGGGACUGCUCUUGGAACUGUGCGGCUGGAGUGCGGGAGGGGCAGGCGGAAUUCCUGGUGUAGCGGUGAAAUGCGUAGAUAUUAGGAGGAACACCAGUGGCGAAGGCGGCCUGCUGGACGAUGACUGACGUUGAGGCUCGAAAGCGUGGGGAGCAAACAGGAUUAGAUACCCGGGUACC
RNAcentral lists this ribosomal RNA (448 nucleotides) under uncultured bacterium. RNAcentral's name for it is "bacterial SSU rRNA". It matches the Rfam family "Bacterial small subunit ribosomal RNA", at positions 330 to 794 of the family's 1533-position model. The record is from RNAcentral.